This 437-nucleotide ribosomal RNA is filed under the name uncultured bacterium. Its description in RNAcentral is "partial 16S ribosomal RNA". It matches the Rfam family "Bacterial small subunit ribosomal RNA", at positions 29 to 507 of the family's 1533-position model. The record is from RNAcentral.
AGCGAACGCUGGCGGCAGGCUUAACACAUGCAAGUCGAGCGGGCAUCCUUGUGGUGUCAGCAGCAGACGGGUGAGUAACGCGUGGGAACGUGCCCUUCGGUUCGGAAUAACUCAGGGAAACUUGAGCUAAUACCGGAUACGUGCGAGAGCAGAAAGGUUUAUCUGCCGAAGGAUCGGCCCGCGCCUGAUUAGCUAGUUGGUGAGGUUACGGCUCACCAAGGCGACGAUCAGUAGCUGGUCUGAGAGGAUGAUCAGCCACACUGGGACUGAGACACGGCCCAGACUCCUACGGGAGGCAGCAGUGGGGAAUAUUGGACAAUGGGGGCAACCCUGAUCCAGCCAUGCCGCGUGAGUGAUGACGGCCUUAGGGUUGUAAAGCUCUUUUCUCCGGGACGAUAAUGACGGUACCGGAGGAAUAAGCCCCGGCUAACUUCGUG